This is an RNA transcript of Cebus imitator (Panamanian white-faced capuchin), 664 nucleotides long. It is a transcript of the gene named tumor suppressor candidate 3-like, with no coding region annotated. The record is from RefSeq and is a predicted model, not a curated record. The transcript has 3 exons. NCBI's taxonomy places the organism in Eukaryota, Metazoa, Chordata, Mammalia, Primates, Cebidae.
UCUACGGCUUCCUUGACAACUACUGCAGAUGCUGCUAUCACCAUGGGGAUGGUUCUUCUAAAUGAAGCAGCAACUUCCAAAGGAGAUGUUGGAAAAAGACGGAUAAUUUGCCUAGUGGGAUUGGGCCUGGUGGUCUUCUUCUUCAGUUUUCUACUUUCAAUAUUUCGUUCCAAGUACCACGGCUAUCCUUAUAGCUUUUUAAUUAAAUGAAGCCAAGUGGGAUUUGCAUAAAGUGAAUGUUUACCAUGAAGAUAAACUGUUCCUGACUUUAUACUAUUUUGAAUUCAUUCAUUUGUUGAUUGUGAUCACUAGCUUAUUCUUGUGUAUGUUUUUUAAACUGUGGGUUUUCCUGGUAAAUUUAAUUUAUAGAAAUGAAUGGUAACAUGUAGUAAUCUACAGAGGAAAUAUCAAAGUGUUUUUUUUUUCAAGCCUAUCAUAGUGUGUGCCACAGGAUUGAAAUAAAUGACAUUGUAAUUAUGAAUUCAUGUUUUAGAACUGUUUACUCAUUAGUAAAGGAAUACAAUGUUAGUAAAGAAAACCUACAAAAUGUAUGUUAAAGAUUCUUAGUAUUGUACAGGGAUAAAGCAAAUGCAUGAAAAUAUGUCAUGUACUGAAAAUUAAACUUACUGCAGCUUCAGUUAUAAAGUACUUGCACUGUUACGAA